GACGAACGCUGGCGGCGUGCUUAACACAUGCAAGUCGAACGGAAAGGCCCUGCUUGUGUGGGGUGCUCGAGUGGCGAACGGGUGAGUAACACGUGAGUAACCUGCCCUUGACUUUGGGAUAACUUCAGGAAACUGGGGCUAAUACCGGAUAGGAGCUCCUGCUGCAGGGUGGGGGUUGGAAAGUUUCUGCGGGUGGGGAUGGACGCGCGGCUUAUCAGCUUGUUGGUGGGGUAGUGGCUUACCAAGGCAGUGAAGGGUAGCCGGCCUGAGAGGGUGACCGGCCACAUUGGGACUGAGGUACGGCCCAGACUCCUACGGGAGGCAGCAGUGGGGAAUAUUGCACAAUGGGAGGAAGCCUGAUGCAGCAACGCCGCGUGCGGGAUGACGGCCUUCGGGUUGUAAACCGCUUUCGCCUGUGACGAAGCGUGAGUGACGGUAAUGGGUAAAGAAGCACCGGCUAACUACGUG
Molecule: ribosomal RNA, 468 nt
Filed under: uncultured bacterium
Lineage: Bacteria
Description: partial 16S ribosomal RNA
Rfam family: Bacterial small subunit ribosomal RNA
Source: RNAcentral